CUACCUUGUUGCCUACGAUCGAUAGCGACGAUGUUUAAAUAUUAAGAAGAGCUUGCAUUAUAAAACAGGAAUGUCACCGAGAUGAGACUACCAGGGAAACGUAUUGCAUACACACAUUUUCCCGCACGCCUGGCAGGAUGCGAGCUAAGAAAUCUCUUCAGGGACAGAACCAGUUUGGAGGAGUUCCUACUGCACAACAUACGAGUCCAGAUCACCACCCUCCUUCCACCCCCACCACUAAGGUCCUUGCUCGAUCUCCCUCGAAAACCUGAAUUGUUUCACCGCUCCCAGUCAGCGCGCUACGUGGUCUGAAAUAAAAUGAAAGCGCGCAAGCCACGGAGUUGAAGGAGGUGGCUAAAGAGAGGUCGCAGCGCUGCAGGCAGCCAAGGGACCCCCGCGGGGACCCCCCCUCCCCAACGCGACGGUGUCGGCCCCCUCCGGGCCCGGGGACACACACUCACGCGCGGGCACUUCCAUACUCGCACACUCACACGCGCUCGCUCACUCCCUCCUCCCCGACCCCGCCUCACCUCCUGCUCCGCCGGUCCGGCCCCUUCCCUGCCCCCCUGCGGGACCGGCCUGCGCGCUCCGCGGCCACCACGUAGGAGGAGGCGGCGGCGGCUGCGUCUCGGGCCCCGAGUGAGCGAGCCGCGGGGCUCCGGGGCGCAUCCCAAUCCCCGCAGCGCCGCCGCCGCCUCCUCCUUCCCCUCCUCCCGUCUUCAUUCACCCUUCCUGCCGCCGCGCAGCCGAGCGGUCCCGGCGCAGGGCAGCGCCCGCAGCUCCUCCGCGCUGGGGACGCCGGGCCGGGCCGGGGCGCUCGCGGGCUCCCGGCUCCCCCAGCUCCCGCGGCUCCGGCGGCGGCGGCGGCUGCUCUGGA
Molecule: long non-coding RNA, 877 nt
Organism: Psammomys obesus (fat sand rat)
Lineage: Eukaryota; Metazoa; Chordata; Mammalia; Rodentia; Muridae
Exons: 3
Source: RefSeq, a predicted model, not a curated record